GAUGAACGCUGGCGGCGUGCCUAAUACAUGCAAGUCGAGCGAACAGACGAGGAGCUUGCUCCUCUGACGUUAGCGGCGGACGGGUGAGUAACACGUGGAUAACCUACCUAUAAGACUGGGAUAACUUCGGGAAACCGGAGCUAAUACCGGAUAAUAUAUUGAACCGCAUGGUUCAAUAGUGAAAGACGGUUUUGCUGUCACUUAUAGAUGGAUCCGCGCCGCAGUAGCUAGUUGGUAAGGUAACGGCUUACCAAGGCGACGAUGCGUAGCCGACCUGAGAGGGUGAUCGGCCACACUGGAACUGAGACACGGUCCAGACUCCUACGGGAGGCAGCAGUAGGGAAUCUUCCGCAAUGGGCGAAAGCCUGACGGAGCAACGCCGCGUGAGUGAUGAAGGUCUUCGGAUCGUAAAACUCUGUUAUUAGGGAAGAACAAAUGUGUAAGUAACUAUGCACGUCCUGACGGUACCUAAUCAGAAAGCCACGGCUAACUACGUG
RNAcentral lists this ribosomal RNA (497 nucleotides) under uncultured bacterium. RNAcentral describes it as "partial 16S ribosomal RNA". It matches the Rfam family "Bacterial small subunit ribosomal RNA", at positions 28 to 507 of the family's 1533-position model. The record is from RNAcentral.